Molecule: ribosomal RNA, 792 nt
Filed under: uncultured archaeon
Lineage: Archaea
Description: bacterial SSU rRNA
Rfam family: Archaeal small subunit ribosomal RNA
Source: RNAcentral
ACGGCUCAGUAACACGUGGAUAACCUGCCCAAGGGUCCGGGAUAACCCCGGGAAACUGGGGAUAAUACCGGAUGGAUCACUAGUGCUGGAAUGCUUGGUGGUUUAAAGGUAUACGCCUUUGGAUGGGUCUGCGGCGGAUUAGGUUGACGCCGGUGUAACGUACCGGCGUGCCUGUAAUCCGUACGGGUUGUGGGAGCAAGAGCCCGGAGAUGGAUUCUGAGACACGAAUCCAGGCCCUACGGGGCGCAGCAGGCGCGAAAACUCUACAAUGCAGGCAACUGCGAUAGGGGGACAUCGAGUGGCAUCCACCUUGGGUGCCUGUCCAACCGUCUAAAAAACGGUUGUUAGCAAGGGCCGGGUAAGACCGGUGCCAGCCGCCGCGGUAAUACCGGCGGCUCGAGUGGUGGCCGAUAUUAUUGAGUCUAAAGGGUCCGUAGCCGGCUUUGCAAGUCCCCUGGGAAAUCCAGCGGCUUAACCGUUGGGCUUUCAUGGGAUACUACAUUGCUUGGGACUGGGAGAGGUAGGAGGUACUCGGGGGGUAGGGGUGAAAUCCUGUAAUCCUCCGGGGACCACCGGUGGCGAAGGCGUCCUACCAGAACAGGUCCGACGGUGAGGGACGAAAGCUAGGGGCACGAACCGGAUUAGAUACCCGGGUAGUCCUAGCCGUAAACGAUGCCCGCUAGGUGUCACGACGGUCGUGAAUCGUCGUGGUGCCGUAGGGAAGCCGCGAAGCGGGCCACUUGGGAAGUACGGCCGCAAGGCUGAAACUUAAAGGAAUUGGCGGGGGAGCAC